UGUCCUACGGGAGGCAGCAGUGAGGAAUAUUGGUCAAUGGGAGAGAUCCUGAACCAGCCAAGCCGCGUGAGGGAAGACGGCCCUAUGGGUUGUAAACCUUUUUUGUCGGAGAACAAAACCCGGGACGAGUCCCGGACUGCGUGUAUCCGAAGAAAAAGCAUCGGCUAACUCCGUGCCAGCAGCCGCGGUAAUACGGAGGAUGCGAGCGUUAUCCGGAUUUAUUGGGUUUAAAGGGUGCGUAGGCGGGCUGUUAAGUCAGCGGUCAAAUGUCGGGGCUCAACCCCGGCCUGUCGUUGAAACUGGCG
Molecule: ribosomal RNA, 305 nt
Filed under: uncultured bacterium
Lineage: Bacteria
Description: bacterial SSU rRNA
Rfam family: Bacterial small subunit ribosomal RNA
Source: RNAcentral